GGAAUAUUGGUCAAUGGACGAGAGUCUGAACCAGCCAAGUAGCGUGCAGGAUGACGGCCCUAUGGGUUGUAAACUGCUUUUAUACAGGGAUAAAGUUCACUACGUGUAGUGUUUUGUAGGUACUGUAUGAAUAAGGACCGGCUAAUUCCGUGCCAGCAGCCGCGGUAAUACGGAAGGUCCGGGCGUUAUCCGGAUUUAUUGGGUUUAAAGGGGGCGCAGGCUGAUUGUUAAGCGUGACGUGAAAUGUAGCCGCUCAACGGCUGAACUGCGUCGCGAACUGGCAGUCUUGAGUGAGUACGACGUCAGCGGAAUUCGUGGUGUAGCGGUGAAAUGCUUAGAUAUCACGAAGAACUCCGAUUGCGAAGGCAGCCCACAAGGCCUUUACUGACGCUAAAGCUCGAAGGUGCGGGUAUCGAACA
This 419-nucleotide ribosomal RNA is filed under the name uncultured Prevotella sp. RNAcentral describes it as "bacterial SSU rRNA". It matches the Rfam family "Bacterial small subunit ribosomal RNA", at positions 358 to 774 of the family's 1533-position model. The record is from RNAcentral. Lineage: Bacteria; Pseudomonadati; Bacteroidota; Bacteroidia; Bacteroidales; Prevotellaceae.